This 413-nucleotide unclassified non-coding RNA is filed under the name soil metagenome. Its description in RNAcentral is "partial contains 5.8S ribosomal RNA, internal transcribed spacer 2, and large subunit ribosomal RNA". The stretch from base 1 to 120 matches the Rfam family "5.8S ribosomal RNA", at positions 35 to 154 of the family's 154-position model. The record is from RNAcentral.
GAUGAAGAACGUAGCGAAAUGCGAUAAGUAAUCUGAAUUGCAGAAUUCAGUGAAUCAUCGAAUCUUUGAACGCACCUUGCGCUCUUUGGUAUUCCGAAGAGCAUGCCUGUUUGAGUGUCAUGAAAAUAUCAACCUUGACUUGGGUUUUGUGCUCUAGUCUCGGCUUGGAAUUGGGUGCUUGCCGCUUUUACGAGCGGCUCACCUUAAAUGUAUUAGCUGGAUCUGUCUUUGAGACUUGGUUUGACUUGGCGUAAUAAGUAUUUCGCUAAGGACAUUCUUCGGAGUGGCCUCGUUUCUAGGACGCUUGUCCGCUUUCCAAUACAAGUUCCACCUCGUGGACAUGACUUUUUAUUAUCUGGCCUCAAAUCAGGUAGGACUACCCGCUGAACUUAAGCAUAUCAAUAAGCGGAGGA